RNAcentral lists this transfer RNA (26 nucleotides) under Sisymbrium officinale. RNAcentral's name for it is "partial tRNA-Phe". The record is from RNAcentral. Lineage: Eukaryota; Viridiplantae; Streptophyta; Magnoliopsida; Brassicales; Brassicaceae.
GCCGGGAUAGCUCAGUUGGUAGCGUA